Molecule: ribosomal RNA, 877 nt
Filed under: uncultured euryarchaeote
Lineage: Archaea; Methanobacteriati; Methanobacteriota
Description: bacterial SSU rRNA
Rfam family: Archaeal small subunit ribosomal RNA
Source: RNAcentral
AGGCUACCGCUAUUGGAGUUCGAUUAAGCCAUGCGAGUCGCGAGUCCUAGGGACUCGGCGUACCGCUCAGUAACACGUGGGUAACCUGCCCUAUGCAGGGGGAUAACCUCGGGAAACUGAGAAUAAUACCCCAUAGUUCACCACGCCUGGAACGGUGGGUGGAUGAAAGCUCCGGCGGCAUAGGAUGGGCCUGCGGCGUAUCAGGUUGUAGGGGGUGUAAUGUACCCUCUAGCCAUCUACGCGUACGGGUGUUGGGAGACAUCGCCCGGAGAUGGAUUCUGAGACACGAAUCCAGACCCUACGGGGUGCAGCAGGCGCGAAAACUUGGCAAUGCGAGAAAUCGUGACCAGGGAACUCCAAGUGCAUCGGGUAAGACCGAUGCUUUUCUUGACUCUUCAAAGGUCUUGGAAUAAGGGGUGGGUAAGGACGGUGCCAGCCGCCGCGGUAAUACCGGCGCCUCAAGUGGUAGUCGCUUUUAUUGGGCCUAAAACGUCCGUAGCCGGUUUGGUACAUUCGUGGGUAAAUCAAGGCGCUCAACGUCUUGAAUUCUGCGAGCACGGCCAGACUUGGGACCGGGUGAGGUGUGGGGUACUCUCAGGGUAGGGGUAAAAUCCUGUCAUCCUGAGAGGACCACCUGUUGCGAAGGCGCCACACUAGAACGGAUCCGACGGUCAGGGACGAAGCCUAGGGGCACGAACCGGAUUAGAUACCCGGGUAGUCCUAGGUGUAAACGCUGUGGACUUGAUGUUGGGAGUGCUCCGAGCACCCUCAGUGUCGAAGCGAAGGUGAUAAGUCCACUGCCUGGGGAGUACGGUCGCAAGGCUGAAACUUAAAGGAAUUGGCGGGGGAGCACUGCAACCUGAGGAUUGUGCGGUUU